This 71-nucleotide transfer RNA is filed under the name Cynoglossus semilaevis (tongue sole). Its description in RNAcentral is "tRNA-Pro". It matches the Rfam family "tRNA". Rfam says of the family: Transfer RNA (tRNA) molecules are approximately 80 nucleotides in length. Their secondary structure includes four short double-helical elements and three loops (D, anti-codon, and T loops). Further hydrogen bonds mediate the characteristic L-shaped molecular structure. tRNAs have two regions of fundamental functional importance: the anti-codon, which is responsible for specific mRNA codon recognition, and the 3' end, to which the tRNAs corresponding amino acid is attached (by aminoacyl-tRNA synthetases). tRNAs cope with the degeneracy of the genetic code in two manners: having more than one tRNA (with a specific anti-codon) for a particular amino acid; and 'wobble' base-pairing, i.e. permitting non-standard base-pairing at the 3rd anti-codon position. Lineage: Eukaryota; Metazoa; Chordata; Actinopteri; Pleuronectiformes; Cynoglossidae. The record is from RNAcentral.
UCAGGAAAUAGUUUAAUGUAGAACUCUAGCUUUGGGGGCUAGUAGUAGGAAUUUAAGUUUUCUUUUUCUGA